GAAGUUCCUUGUAUCACCAAACUUGUGCAUUUCAAUGUCAUUGCAGACAAAUUAUUUCAAAUAUUAUUGAUUAAGUCCUGGACUACUUCAAGUGUAUUUAAGUUCAUGUUUAUAUAAAUAGUGAAAUGGGGUCUAAUCAACUACAAAAUUCGACAACUUAUUGAAUCCAGACGUAUAGUCUGUAACGACCAUCGUCUUGAAAGUCAUUACAGCUAACAUACUUAGCCUGAUAACCCGGAUAGAUAUAUUUGAUAUUAUAGUUAUUGUACUAUAUGCUUACAAAAAAGG
RNAcentral lists this long non-coding RNA (288 nucleotides) under Mytilus galloprovincialis (Mediterranean mussel). Lineage: Eukaryota; Metazoa; Mollusca; Bivalvia; Mytilida; Mytilidae. The record is from RNAcentral.